CACCAGCCCCACCACCCGGUAG
This 22-nucleotide microRNA is filed under the name Callorhinchus milii (elephant shark). RNAcentral describes it as "eshark_mir-1905_1". Lineage: Eukaryota; Metazoa; Chordata; Chondrichthyes; Chimaeriformes; Callorhinchidae. The record is from RNAcentral.